This 546-nucleotide ribosomal RNA is filed under the name Bacillus sp. (in: firmicutes). Its description in RNAcentral is "bacterial SSU rRNA". It matches the Rfam family "Bacterial small subunit ribosomal RNA", at positions 917 to 1454 of the family's 1533-position model. The record is from RNAcentral. Lineage: Bacteria; Bacillati; Bacillota; Bacilli; Caryophanales; Bacillaceae.
GGGCCCGCACUAUUUGGUGGAGCAUGUGGUUUAAUUCGAAGCAACGCAAAGAACCUUACCAGGUCUUGACAUCCUCUGACAACCCUAGAGAUAGGGCGUUCCCCUUCGGGGGACAGAGUGACAGGUGGUGCAUGGUUGUCGUCAGCUCGUGUCGGGAGAUGUUGGGUUAAGUCCCGCAACGAGCGCAACCCUUGAUCUUAGUUGCCAGCAUUCAGUUGGGCACUCUAAGGUGACUUUUCGUUUGACAAACCGGAGGAAGGUGGGGAUGACGUCAAAUCAUCUUGUCUCUUAUGACCUGGGCUACACACGUGCUACAAUGGAUAGAACAAAGGGCAGCGAAGCCGCGAGGUGAAGCCAAUCCCAUAAAUCUAUUCUCAGUUCGGAUUGCAGGCUGCAACUCGCCUGCAUGAAGCCGGAAUCGCUAGUAAUCGCGGAUCAGCAUGCCGCGGUGAAAUACGUUCCCGGGCCUUGUACACACCGCCCGUCACACCACGAGAGUUUGUAACACCCGAAGUCGGGGGGGGUAACCUUUUAUGGGGGCCAGCC